RNAcentral lists this ribosomal RNA (454 nucleotides) under uncultured Barnesiella sp. RNAcentral describes it as "partial 16S ribosomal RNA". It matches the Rfam family "Bacterial small subunit ribosomal RNA", at positions 341 to 792 of the family's 1533-position model. The record is from RNAcentral. Lineage: Bacteria; Pseudomonadati; Bacteroidota; Bacteroidia; Bacteroidales; Barnesiellaceae.
ACGGGAGGCAGCAGUGAGGAAUAUUGGUCAAUGGGCGGAAGCCUGAACCAGCCAAGUCGCGUGAGGGAAGACGGCCCUACGGGUUGUAAACCUCUUCUGCGCGGGGGUAAAGUCGGGGACGGGUCCCCGAUUGCAAGUACCGCGCGAAAAAGGAUCGGCUAACUCCGUGCCAGCAGCCGCGGUAAUACGGAGGAUCCGAGUGUUAUCCGGAUUUAUUGGGUUUAAAGGGUGCGCAGGCGGCACGUUAAGUCAGCGGUGAAAUGUCGGGGCUCAACCCGGGCACUGCCGUUGAAACUGGCGAGCUUGAGUACGGAUGAAGUCGGCGGAAUGUGAUGUGUAGCGGUGAAAUGCUUAGAUAUGUCACAGAACACCGAUUGCGAAGGCAGCUGACUAAUCCGCAACUGACGCUCAGGCACGAAAGCGUGGGGAUCGAACAGGAUUAGAUACCCUGGUA